This 468-nucleotide ribosomal RNA is filed under the name uncultured bacterium. RNAcentral describes it as "partial 16S ribosomal RNA". It matches the Rfam family "Bacterial small subunit ribosomal RNA", at positions 28 to 507 of the family's 1533-position model. The record is from RNAcentral.
GACGAACGCUGGCGGCGUGCUUAACACAUGCAAGUCGAACGGAAAGGCCCUGCUUUUGUGGGGUGCUCGAGUGGCGAACGGGUGAGUAACACGUGAGUAACCUGCCCUUGACUUUGGGAUAACUUCAGGAAACUGGGGCUAAUACCGGAUAGGAGCUCCUGCUGCAUGGUGGGGGUUGGAAAGUUUCGGCGGUUGGGGAUGGACUCGCGGCUUAUCGGCUUGUUGGUGGGGUAGUGGCUUACCAAGGCUUUGACGGGUAGCCGGCCUGAGAGGGUGGCCGGCCACAAUGGGACUGAGAUACGGACCAGACUCCUACGGGAGGCAGCAGUGGGGAAUAUUGCACAGUGGGCGGAAGCCUGAUGCAGCAACGCCGCGUGCGGGAUGACGGCCUUCGGGUUGUAAACCGCUUUCGCCUGUGACGAAGCGUGAGUGACGGUAAUGGGUAAAGAAGCACCGGCUAACUACGUG